CCUUUGGAAUUUCUUUAAUGAUAAAUAAUAUAUGAUCUAAAAAGGUACUAGUAUUUUUUAUCUGUAGGAUAUUUGCUGGAUACAACAGAUCUCUCAGUCGUUGUUCCUUUUUGUGAGAAUCUGUUGUAUUUGAUGUGCGAGAAGCCAAUAUUAUAAAGUUGAUUUUGGUUAUUAACUUACUCACAUGUAUUUCCUAAUUUCUUAAACUUUAAGUACCUCGUUUGUUUUUCUUUCGUAUAAACUAAUAAUUUAUGCAUUGUUAUGGCCAAAUCUAUUCCUUUUUUACUUUGAUCAUAUAUGAUACAUUUAAUGAUGAAUUUUGCUAUUACAGUAGUCUGCUUUUGUCUUUUCAUUGGGUGAAUGUGCUUCAAUAUAUAAUAAUACAUGAUAAGGAUCCAAAACGUUUUUCUAGAAUCUCCACCCCAAUAUAAAUUAUAUAUGUUGAAACACAAAAGCCAAAUUUAGUUUAUGUAAUUGCUGAAGAAGAGCAUUGUUAUCAAUAAUUUUUUUUAUUAAGAAUAUGAAGGCAAAUAUAAGCAUAUGAUGCUUAAUUAUAAUGUAUUAAAGUUACUGCUGUGUUUUCUUGAUUGCAGCGACUAUUGUGUCUUUGAUUUAUCAUAUUUUUGACUCAUUGCAGCGAAUGUUGGGUCUUUGAUUUUUGUCUUGUGUUCAUGACUAUUUCUAGUUUAUCUAAAAAAAAAAUUAGAUAUAUGUCUAGCCCUUCUUUUAUUGUCCAUAAGAAGUAAUACUUGCAAUAUGAAUUCUAUUCUAAUAUGAUAUGAUUAAAGAAAUAUAUAAAUCAAUAUGGGUUAGCAAGUAAUAAAUGAAUGUGGCAGUUAAGAAAUAUUUACAUAUUACUAAUCAUAAUGAGAUUGAUUUUCUCUAGUCUUGAUCUAACAAUGAUUCCUUGAUUUAAUUUCUGCAUCCAAUACAAUUUUGACCUUGAGUUGUGCUUCAAUAUAAUGGACUGAUAUCCAUCCAAGCAAGUGAAAAGGCAUGGCUGCAAAGAGCCUACUGUUCUUGCUCAUGAAACACCAUGUACUUUGGUGUUUCAAAAGCAGAUAGACCAUUUUUUCAGCAACAAUGAGAGAAGUUGAUGAGCUAGGCUAAAAUACUAUAGAGGCAACAUGAAUAAGAGAAUGAUAAAGACUUGUUGCACUUUGUAAUGUAUUAUUUACAUUUUAAAUUUACAAAUUUAUAAUGGUGUAAUUUUGUAUUUGAUUUUUUUUUAUAUGAUGAUUGAUGUAAUAUAUAAUAAAAGUUUGUUUAUUUUUAUUUAAAUUUUA
Humulus lupulus (European hop) is the source of this 1286-nucleotide long non-coding RNA. RefSeq lists it as uncharacterized. NCBI's taxonomy places the organism in Eukaryota, Viridiplantae, Streptophyta, Magnoliopsida, Rosales, Cannabaceae. The transcript is spliced from 2 exons. The record is from RefSeq and is a predicted model, not a curated record.